UCCAGAGCUGAGCUUUAUCACAGAGGUC
This 28-nucleotide non-coding RNA is filed under the name Rattus norvegicus (Norway rat). Lineage: Eukaryota; Metazoa; Chordata; Mammalia; Rodentia; Muridae. The record is from RNAcentral.